Pelodiscus sinensis (Chinese soft-shelled turtle) is the source of this 2003-nucleotide non-coding RNA. The record is from RefSeq and is a predicted model, not a curated record. NCBI's taxonomy places the organism in Eukaryota, Metazoa, Chordata, Testudines, Trionychidae.
UAUAAGGAUUGGGGAUAGCAAGUGAUGGAGAGGAGGAGAAUAGAGAGGGCGGAGCUUCAAGGAAAGGGCGGGGCGGUAGAUCUUGGCUUAGUCUGUCACUUAAAAAGCGAUCUUGGGUGUAAAACGGUUGGAGACCACUGGAAUAUAGGAUUCAGGUCAAAUUCAGGAUUCAAAUAGAUUGAAUUCACAAAGUGUUUUAGCCUUGUGCAAAAGUACAAAAAGAAGGCCUUGUCUACGUUAAUCAUUUGCCAUUAUUACAGUCAUCAGUGUAACUGGACUAAUGCAACCCCUAAGGUACACACGCCGACUCGACUGCCUGGUGGAGGUAAUUCCAUUUUGAGCAGGGAUGAGCUCUUUCACUAGUACACACAGCAGCCCCUGUUUAUGUUAUGACUUGUACCUGUCCCAUUAUUACUAAAAACUGCAAUGAAAGCAAUUCCCCAUUAUAUAGGUCAAAGACUGAAUAUUGAGUUUCCUAUCAAAUAUAUGUUAGUUGAAAGGCUUGUUAAUACACUGACUAUUCUUACUUUUUAAAAUUGUUUUGAGGACCCUAGAAGGCAAACUAAUUUUUUAUGCAAAUGUUUGGAUUCCUUGCUAUUCUAUAAAAUAUUAUCUAGUGCUUGGCACAGAACUGUUAAAGGGUUGGACUGUACUAGCAUGAUCUGGAAAUAGAUAACUUUUCUGAGAGGGUUGCUAGUAUUUAAUCAGUCACACUGAGUUCUGUGUUUUGUGCCAUAUCAAAACUGGUUUGUCUGAGUCAACUGCAAAAACAGUGGAAAUGAGUGCCAUGCAAUGUGUAUCAAAUAACAAAUACUAUAAUAGCUUCCAGUACAGCUAUUGUGGCAUUACUACAUUUUGUAAUAGUACUUUAUGCUUACGCAAUUUGUUCUGACAUCUCUUUAGACUUCUGUUUUCUGAAAUGUAGCAGAUCAGUUUUUACUUCACUGCAGAUCUUACCAUGUACCAACAGCCUGACUCCGUUGUUGUCUAAGGGGAGCUCAGGUAUUCUAAUGCAUCCAUUUCUCUGCUUUUGCUGCAUUGUAUGCUGUGCUAAAGAAGACAUUGGAGAUUGAUUUUACCCAACCAACAGUUGUAGCAAUGGACUACAAUCAAAACAGUUUGUUGGACAGUAGCAAUACUUGCAGUGCAGCAUUUGGCACAGACUAUCCAAAAGGGGCAGAGAUUUAGGAGAGUAAAUGAUUGAACCGCCAUUGAAAGAUGUCUGAAACAACUUCCGGAAUGGGAAUCCUACUCUAAAUCCUACAUUGAAAAAAGAAGUUAAAGUGAUUAUUGUAAUUACCAGAUUGUUCACUCGCAUUCAAGCAAACUAUUUUGUGCUGUUCUGGGUCCUUAAAAGAUCACAUUUGAAUAUUUCAAAAUCUAUGUAGCACACUCAUUUAGAAGUUUUUAAUAUUUUGUCUUUAUUAACUUUGCCAUUUCAUGAAAAAAUCUGCCACAACAUGUAUUGAGUUAAAGUAAUUUCCUUCAUUCAAUAUAUUGGAGGCUAUUGACAAUUCUUCUGUAAGAUUCACACAAUAGUUCCUCUUUUUCUGAGGGAAAAAUGAAGCAUUAGCUUCCAUUGGCACCUUCAAAAAAGCUAUAUGAUGUUCAGACAUACUUCUUCACCGCACAUAGAGAUGACAUAAGUUAUUCUUCCAUGCAUCCCAAUAGCACCCAAUACACUUCCCAGUAGCAUAUCGAGCAUUGUAAAUAUCAGGUUGUGAAUAGUUAUUGUCUGGUGUCAAUGAAAGUUAGAUUAAAUAGAUCAUGAUUUUAUUAUUUUGUUGUUUCAGUGUUCUGUUUUUCUCUUCCCCUUCACAUACUAGGACAUAUGAUCAAGGUGAUAGUAUUAGGUUUCAGAAAAUCGACCAUUAUCUGCUCUAUUUUCCCAUUCUUGUUCAUCACAACAAUAUUAUGCACUAACUUGAAAUGUUUGUAAAUUCAUAUUUAAAAUGUUUGAGACCUCAUCUAAAUAAAUUUGUAUAUAAAAAUGCUGUGUUUAA